This 72-nucleotide transfer RNA is filed under the name Pangasianodon gigas (Mekong giant catfish). Its description in RNAcentral is "tRNA-Glu". It matches the Rfam family "tRNA". Rfam says of the family: Transfer RNA (tRNA) molecules are approximately 80 nucleotides in length. Their secondary structure includes four short double-helical elements and three loops (D, anti-codon, and T loops). Lineage: Eukaryota; Metazoa; Chordata; Actinopteri; Siluriformes; Pangasiidae. The record is from RNAcentral.
UCCCUGGAAGACUAGUGGUUAGGCCACAGAGCUCUCGCUGCUGCAGCCUGGGUUCGAUUCCUGGCCAGGGAA